CACAUCCAAUAUGUAAUAGGGAUGUAUCCUCCUUACAUUUAAAGCAUGGAUGGAAAAUAUAUUUCAUGGGUCAUUGACAAUUUUUUCCUGCUAAUCAUUCUUGGAGGAUCCGUUAUAAUUAAUAUUUUGAUGGUAAGUUUGAUCGACGUCUGCCACCUAAGAGGUUAAGUAGAGCAAAAAUUUUAGAAUAACUUGAAGUCAUUAGAAACGUCCAAUUUAGAAAAACAUCGGGUACUCACA
This 240-nucleotide long non-coding RNA is filed under the name Elaeis guineensis (African oil palm). Its description in RNAcentral is "long non-coding RNA (EGUI_LNC013459)". Lineage: Eukaryota; Viridiplantae; Streptophyta; Magnoliopsida; Arecales; Arecaceae. The record is from RNAcentral.